UAGGGAAUAUUGGGCAAUGGACGAAAGUCUGACCCAGCCACGCCGCGUGAAGGAUGACUGCCCUAUGGGUUGUAAACUUCUUUUGUAUGGGAAGAAACCUCCGAACGUGUUCGGAGCUGACGGUACCAUAAGAAUAAGCAUCGGCUAACUCCGUGCCAGCAGCCGCGGUAAUACGGAGGAUGCAAGCGUUGUCCGGAUUCAUUGGGUUUAAAGGGUGCGUAGGCGGAGAAUUAAGUCAGUGGUGAAAGCU
This 250-nucleotide ribosomal RNA is filed under the name uncultured bacterium. RNAcentral's name for it is "partial 16S ribosomal RNA". It matches the Rfam family "Bacterial small subunit ribosomal RNA", at positions 355 to 602 of the family's 1533-position model. The record is from RNAcentral.